This 253-nucleotide ribosomal RNA is filed under the name uncultured bacterium. RNAcentral's name for it is "partial 16S ribosomal RNA". It matches the Rfam family "Bacterial small subunit ribosomal RNA", at positions 524 to 776 of the family's 1533-position model. The record is from RNAcentral.
UACGGAGGAUCCAAGCGUUAUCCGGAUUUAUUGGGUUUAAAGGGUGCGUAGGCGGUUUGAUAAGUUAGAGGUGAAAUCCCGUAGCUCAACUACGGAACUGCCUCUGAUACUGUCAGACUAGAGAAUAGAUGCUGUGGGCGGAAUGUGUGGUGUAGCGGUGAAAUGCUUAGAGAUCACACAGAGCACCGAUUGCGAAGGCAGCUCACAAAACUAUAUCUGACGCUGAUGCACGAAAGCGCGGGGAGCAAACAGG